AUUGAACGCUGGCGGCAGGCCUAACACAUGCAAGUCGAGCGGUAGAGAGAAGCUUGCUUCUCUUGAGAGCGGCGGACGGGUGAGUAAUGCCUAGGAAUCUGCCUGGUAGUGGGGGAUAACGUUCGGAAACGGACGCUAAUACCGCAUACGUCCUACGGGAGAAAGCAGGGGACCUUCGGGCCUUGCGCUAUCAGAUGAGCCUAGGUCGGAUUAGCUAGUUGGUGAGGUAAUGGCUCACCAAGGCGACGAUCCGUAACUGGUCUGAGAGGAUGAUCAGUCACACUGGAACUGAGACACGGUCCAGACUCCUACGGGAGGCAGCAGUGGGGAAUAUUGGACAAUGGGCGAAAGCCUGAUCCAGCCAUGCCGCGUGUGUGAAGAAGGUCUUCGGAUUGUAAAGCACUUUAAGUUGGGAGGAAGGGUACUUACCUAAUACGUGAGUAUUUUGACGUUACCGACAGAAUAAGCACCGGCUAACUCUGUGCCAGCAGCCGCCGCAGUAAAC
This 505-nucleotide ribosomal RNA is filed under the name uncultured bacterium. RNAcentral describes it as "bacterial SSU rRNA". It matches the Rfam family "Bacterial small subunit ribosomal RNA", at positions 30 to 526 of the family's 1533-position model. The record is from RNAcentral.